Molecule: non-coding RNA, 372 nt
Filed under: Erythrobacter sp. HI00D59
Lineage: Bacteria; Pseudomonadati; Pseudomonadota; Alphaproteobacteria; Sphingomonadales; Erythrobacteraceae
Description: bacterial LSU rRNA
Rfam family: Bacterial large subunit ribosomal RNA
Source: RNAcentral
GUAUAGACCGUACCCGAAACCGACACAGGUGGUCAGGUAGAGUAUACCAAGGCGCUUGAGAGAAGUAUCCUGAAGGAACUCGGCAAAUUGCCUCCGUACCUUCGGAAGAAGGAGGCCCCAUAUCGACGCAAGUCUUUGUGGGGGGCACAGGCCAAGGGGUAGCGACUGUUUAGCAAAAACACAGCACUCUGCUAAGUCGGCUUCAAGACGACGUAUAGGGUGUGACGCCUGCCCGGUGCUCGAAGGUUAAGAGGAGGAGUGCAAGCUCCGAAUUGAAGCCCGAGUAAACGGCGGCCGUAACUAUAACGGUCCUAAGGUAGCGAAAUUCCUUGUCGGGUAAGUUCCGACCUGCACGAAUGGCGUAACGACUUC